CCUACGGGAGGCAGCAGUAAGGAAUAUUGGACAAUGGGCGCAAGCCUGAUCCAGCCAUUCCGCGUGUAGGAUGACGGCCCUCUGGGUUGUAAACUACUUUUAUUUGGGAAGAAACCCUGGGAUUUAUCCUGGGCUGACGGUACCAAAAGAAUAAGCACCGGCUAAUUCCGUGCCAGCAGCCGCGGUAAUACGGAAGGUGCAAGCGUUAUCCGGAAUCACUGGGUUUAAAGGGUGCGUAGGCGGUUGCGUAAGUCAGAAGUGAAAGCUCACAGCUUAACUGUGGAAUUGCUUUUGAUACUGCGCGACUAGAAUCAGGUUGAGGUUGGCGGAAUGUGACAUGUAGCGGUGAAAUGCAUAGAUAUGUCGUAGAACACCAAUUGCGAAGGCAGCUGACUGGACCUGCAUUGACGCUGAGGCACGAAAGCGUGGGGAGCGAACAGGAUUAGAUACCCUGGUUGUCCACGCCCUAAACGAUGCUUACUCGAUGUGUGAAAUAUUGCGCAUCCAAGGGAAACCGUUAAGUAAGCCUCCUGGGGAGUACGUUCGCAAGAAUGAAACUCAAAGGAAUUGACGG
Molecule: ribosomal RNA, 574 nt
Filed under: uncultured bacterium
Lineage: Bacteria
Description: bacterial SSU rRNA
Rfam family: Bacterial small subunit ribosomal RNA
Source: RNAcentral